CUUAAAUAUAGGACCUGAAUAAAUGGACAAACAUGAGACAUCAGAGUGCUUUAUAUGCAGGGAUGGUGAACUUAAAGCCAGUGACCCGCUGAGGAAUUUCUGCGACUGCAAGAAUUUACUUGCCCAUCACGUGUGUCUGUCCACAUGGAUCCAGAGGGGAUGUGGGAGUGAAGACAGAGUGCGAUGCAUCAUCUGCAAGGCCAAGUACCAGCUGCAGAGGAGUUCCCCGUGGCGGUCGGUGAGCUUCCAGUGGCAGACGUGGCUCGUGCUGAUCACGGCGACCGUUUUGAUGAGUCUGGUGCCCUACGCUGUUUACUGCAUGAUGACAGCCUUCACCAACCCUCCUCCUCCCAGCACCUUUAAAGUGGCAGCAAUUUCCUUCGGUAUACUGACAGAGACCCUGCUCAUCAAGUGUCUGUGGAGUUACUUCAGCUCUCGGUACCGGCAGGCUGCGCAGAACUCCUUCGUAGUCCAGCCCAGAGGCUCGACGGAAGACAGAAGCAACCCCGGCCUCUGGGAUCGGCCUGAGGCCGCCUCAGCAGGUCACGCUUCAUCAGCAGCCUCACCCACUCACGUGGAGGAGAGGAAAGUGGAUGUGUUGAAGAGUGGAUGCCUCAGCCUUUUCUGAACCAACAACAGAAGGAGUUUACAGAUUACAGGCUCCAUUAUGGCUCCAUCUCCCAUGCUUCUUCUGCUAAUUGAAUAGCCUGUGAAGUGGUGACGAGGACGGGGGCGAGAGCAACGUCUGUCCCGCUGCUGCUUCAGAAAUGAGACUAAAGCUUCCCAGAGAGACACUAGUUCUUAAAACAUAAACCAUUAUCAUACAGACAGAAAGCGUGCUAACAAGUCGCUCUCAUGUUAUAUUACCGUCACACUGUCUGCACACUAUUUUCACCUAUAACUGCUUGGAAUUAACAUUUUGGGCCAUUUGCAGCAAAAGAGAUGGAUGAGAGGAAUGAUAAUCAAACACACAUUGUUUAUUAAAUAUAAGAUUAUUGCUGGUUAGGUUAGCUUAGCACAAAGUCUGGGAACAUGGAGCCUAGCUUUGAUGAAAUCUGCAUACCAGGUGAGCUCUGAAGCUCACCAUCAACCCCCGAUCUGUUGUGUCUUCGGUGUCUUCCAAAACUGACGUUGUGGGCAGUUGAAAGUGGUGUAAGACAGACAUUUAUCUAUCAAGUGCAUCUUUUUAGCCUACCGUUCCUGAUGACUGUUACCAAUCAGCUUUGCAGCUGCUAAAUGAAUCAUGUAAAAUAUUAAAUUGCACCGAUUCCCUUCUUCCAUGGUUGCAGCCAGCGGGUCCUGGUGAAUAAACUGCUUUUUCUGGAGGAGAAACCUAACAUGUUGAUUGCACAAUUACCUUGCUUGGUAUAAGUUUGCAUUACUUUCAAAUAAAGUUUCCCAUAUCAGCUUCCCACAAAACCUUUAGAGUAUCACUUUGAAUAGUUUACAUCAGAACAACCCAGUCAGACAUCAGCAGGUGCUCCUUCUUUAUUCAAAGCAGCUGUCAGUCACAGCAGUCUGUAAUGAGGACAAAUAAUCUUAUUAUAGCAUCAAAUAACUCAUAAUCAGCAAACUGAUAACAAAAAAUAUCAACAUCAGUGUUCUGACAAGUGCCUACAAUAGGAACUUAUUUUUUUAGGGGGGGGGGGGGCUUAAUUGAAGGUUAUAUAAAGGUUAUUCCUGGAGGUAAAACUACUGAAAUUUUGGGAGAUUGUCUGGGAUUCAUUUACAUGUUUUCAGCAGUGGGAGAAAUGGAAGCUCCCAGGAGAGUAUUACAACUCCACUCAGAAGGACUCUUAACCUCCAAGCUGUCACCCAAGUGAUGACACGUUGAUGACAUCAUCCAGGUUUUGAGUGGAGUUCUCCUUCAAUAGUCACUCAAAUGUGCUGUAAAUUGGUGAUCCUGUAUAAAUGUGUUUCAUAUAUAGGAAACUGUCUUGUAUAUUAAACAGUCAAAUAACUGAGUGUUGUCCUUUGUUAUAUCACUGUGGGGGGGGAUUUUCUAAAGUAAAUGAGAGUUAUUAAAAACUGAGGCGGGCC
Oreochromis aureus is the source of this 2040-nucleotide long non-coding RNA. The record is from Ensembl. Lineage: Eukaryota; Metazoa; Chordata; Actinopteri; Cichliformes; Cichlidae.